GCAGCAGUGGGGAAUCUUGGACAAUGGGCGCAGGCYUGAUCCAGCCAUGCCGCGUGAGUGAUGAAGGCCUUAGGGUCGUAAAGCUCUUUCGCCAGGGAUGAUAAUGACAGUACCUGGUAAAGAAACCCCGGCUAACUCCGUGCCAGCAGCCGCGGUAAUACGGAGGGGGUUAGCGUUGUUCGGAAUUACUGGGCGUAAAGCGUACGUAGGCGGAUUAGUCAGUCAGAGGUGAAAUCCCAGGGCUCAACCCUGGAACUGCCUUUGAUACUGCUAGUCUUGAGUUCGAGAGAGGUGAGUGGAAUUCCAAGUGUAGAGGUGAAAUUCGUAGAUAUUUGGAGGAACACCAGUGGCGAAGGCGGCUCACUGGCUCGAUACUGACGCUGAGGUACGAAAGUGUGGGGAGCAAACAGGAUUAGAUACCCUGGUAGUCCACACCGUAAACGAUGAAUG
This 450-nucleotide ribosomal RNA is filed under the name uncultured Paracoccaceae bacterium. Its description in RNAcentral is "bacterial SSU rRNA". It matches the Rfam family "Bacterial small subunit ribosomal RNA", at positions 348 to 815 of the family's 1533-position model. The record is from RNAcentral. Lineage: Bacteria; Pseudomonadati; Pseudomonadota; Alphaproteobacteria; Rhodobacterales; Paracoccaceae.